GAUCAUGGCUCAGGACGAACGCUGGCGGCGUGCUUAACACAUGCAAGUCGAACGGUGAAAGAGGAGCUUGCUCCUCUGGAUCAGUGGCGAACGGGUGAGUAACACGUGAGCAAUCUGCCCCGGACUCUGGGAUAAGCACUGGAAACGGUGUCUAAUACCGGAUACGACGCGGGAGGGCAUCCUCUCCGCGUGGAAAGAAUUUCGGUUCGGGAUGAGCUCGCGGCCUAUCAGCUUG
This 235-nucleotide ribosomal RNA is filed under the name uncultured bacterium. RNAcentral describes it as "partial 16S ribosomal RNA". It matches the Rfam family "Bacterial small subunit ribosomal RNA", at positions 15 to 248 of the family's 1533-position model. The record is from RNAcentral.